RNAcentral lists this ribosomal RNA (198 nucleotides) under uncultured bacterium. Its description in RNAcentral is "partial 16S ribosomal RNA". It matches the Rfam family "Bacterial small subunit ribosomal RNA", at positions 328 to 539 of the family's 1533-position model. The record is from RNAcentral.
ACGCUCGACACCUACGGGAGGCGGCAGUGGGGAAUAUUGCACAAUGGGGGAAACCCUGAUGCAGCGACGCCGCGUGGAGGAAGAAGGUCUUCGGAUUGUAAACUCCUGUUGUUGGGGAAAAAGAGGAUGGUACCCAACAAGGAAGUGACGGCUAACUACGUACCAGCAGCCGCGGUAAUCUGAGCGGGCUGGCAAGGC